UAAACCGUACUGAAAACCGACACAGGUGGUCAGGUAGAGAAUACUCAGGCGCUUGAGAGAACUCGGGUGAAGGAACUAGGCAAAAUAGCACCGUAACUUCGGGAGAAGGUGCGCUGGCGUAGGUUGUAGGAGUAUACCUCCGAAGGCUGAACCAGUCGAAGAUACCAGCUGGCUGCAACUGUUUAUUAAAAACACAGCACUCUGCAAACACGAAAGUGGACGUAUAGGGUGUGAUGCCUGCCCGGUGCUGGAAGGUUAAUUGAUGGUGUUAUCGAAAGAGAAGCUCCUGAUCGAAGCCCCAGUAAACGGCGGCCGUAACUAUAACGGUCCUAAGGUAGCGAAAUUCCUUGUCGGGUAAGUUCCGACCUGCACGAAUGGCAUAAUGAUGGCCAGGCUGUCUCCACCCGAGACUCAGUGAAAUUGAAAUCGCCGUGAAGAUGCGGUGUACCCGCGGCUAGACGGAAAGACCCCGUGAACCUUUACUAUAGCUUGACACUGAACAUUGAAUUUUGAUGUGUAGGAUAGGUGGGAGCC
Molecule: ribosomal RNA, 534 nt
Filed under: Glaesserella parasuis
Lineage: Bacteria; Pseudomonadati; Pseudomonadota; Gammaproteobacteria; Pasteurellales; Pasteurellaceae
Description: partial 23S ribosomal RNA
Rfam family: Bacterial large subunit ribosomal RNA
Source: RNAcentral